This 394-nucleotide ribosomal RNA is filed under the name uncultured bacterium. RNAcentral describes it as "partial 16S ribosomal RNA". It matches the Rfam family "Bacterial small subunit ribosomal RNA", at positions 338 to 729 of the family's 1533-position model. The record is from RNAcentral.
CCUACGGGUGGCAGCAGUGAGGAAUAUUGGUCAAUGGGCGUAAGCCUGAACCAGCCAAGUCGCGUGAGGGAUGAAGGUUCUAUGGAUCGUAAACCUCUUUUAUACGGGGAUAAAGUGCGAGACGUGUACCGUUUUGUAUGUACCUUAUGAAUAAGGAUCGGCUAACUCCGUGCCAGCAGCCGCGGUAAUACGGAGGGUCCGAGCGUUAUCCGGAUUGAUUGGGGUUAAAGGGUGCGUAGGCGGCCUAUUAAGUCAGCUGUGAAAUUCUGUGGCUUAACCAUAGAAUUGCCGUUGAAACUGGGAGGCUUGAGUGUGUUUGAGGCAGGUGGAAUGCGUGGUGUAGCGGUGAAAUGCUGAGAUAUCACGAAGAACGCCGAUUGCGAAGGCAGCCUGC